CGUAGUUGGAGUUCAGAUUGAGCUCGGCCGGUCGGCCUAAUUGGUCAGAACUGGUUGACUCUGUCUUGUUUGUGGAUCCCUCCGGAGUUAACUCUUCGGAUGUGGAGUCCACUGUCAUCGUUUACCUUGAAAAAAAUAGAGUGUUCAAAGCAGGCGUUUGCUUGAAUAUAUUAGCAUGGAAUAAUGGAAUAGGACGCUGGUUCUAUUUUGUUGGUUUUGAGAACCAGAGUAAUGA
This 235-nucleotide ribosomal RNA is filed under the name uncultured eukaryote. RNAcentral's name for it is "partial 18S ribosomal RNA". It matches the Rfam family "Eukaryotic small subunit ribosomal RNA", at positions 629 to 868 of the family's 1831-position model. The record is from RNAcentral.